RNAcentral lists this ribosomal RNA (449 nucleotides) under uncultured bacterium. RNAcentral's name for it is "bacterial SSU rRNA". It matches the Rfam family "Bacterial small subunit ribosomal RNA", at positions 328 to 794 of the family's 1533-position model. The record is from RNAcentral.
CGUCCAGACUCCUACGGGAGGCAGCAGUGGGGAAUAUUGCACAAUGGGGGAAACCCUGAUGCAGCGACGCCGCGUGAGUGAUGAAGUAUUUCGGUAUGUAAAGCUCUAUCAGCAGGGAAGAUAAUGACGGUACCUGACUAAGAAGCUCCGGCUAAAUACGUGCCAGCAGCCGCGGUAAUACGUAUGGAGCAAGCGUUAUCCGGAUUUACUGGGUGUAAAGGGAGCGCAGACGGCAGGGCAAGUCUGAUGUGAAAGUCCGGGGCUCAGCCCCGGGACUGCAUUGGAAACUGUCCGGCUAGAGUGCAGGAGAGGUAAGUGGAAUUCCUAGUGUAGCGGUGAAAUGCGUAGAUAUUAGGAGGAACACCAGUGGCGAAGGCGGCCUGCUGGGCUUUUACUGACGCUGAGGCUCGAAAGUGUGGGGAGCAAACAGGAUUAGAUACCCCGGUACC